ACAUAUGCCUACAACAUAGUGUUAAUGCACCGGAUCCCAUUAAAACUCCGUAGUUAAGCGCGCUCGGGCUAGAGUAGUACUGGGAUGGGUGAUCACCCGGGAAGUCCUAAUGUUUUACAUG
Molecule: non-coding RNA, 121 nt
Organism: Picea glauca (white spruce)
Lineage: Eukaryota; Viridiplantae; Streptophyta; Pinopsida; Pinales; Pinaceae
Source: Rfam